RNAcentral lists this unclassified non-coding RNA (292 nucleotides) under Hevea brasiliensis (rubber tree). Lineage: Eukaryota; Viridiplantae; Streptophyta; Magnoliopsida; Malpighiales; Euphorbiaceae. The record is from RNAcentral.
ACAUUCAGGCAAAACCCUAAAGUUCUAGAGUAGAAAAGGCCAAACCUUUUCCGGGUGGGUUGGGGAUUGAAGGGUUGGGUUUUGAUGGACGAAGAACGAAAUGAAACAGUAUCGUUACGAAUUCGAAGGUUGAGACGAUGAAGUGAGAGAAUUUUGAAGGUGGGAGAAGGGAGAGUGGCGAUAGGCAUCGACAUGGCUAUGGCAUUAGAGAGGUUUUGCCAUUACCAGUGAAGAUAGUGGAGACAGAGAGAGUGCUGCGGGUUUUAGCCGUACAGAGGCAAGUAUGGGCGGG